UACGUAGGGUCCGAGCGUUGUCCGGAAUUACUGGGCGUAAAGAGCUCGUAGGUGGUUUGUCGCGUUGUUCGUGAAAACUCACAGCUCAACUGUGGGCGUGCGGGCGAUACGGGCAGACUAGAGUACUGCAGGGGAGACUGGAAUUCCUGGUGUAGCGGUGGAAUGCGCAGAUAUCAGGAGGAACACCGGUGGCGAAGGCGGGUCUCUGGGCAGUAGCUGACACUGAGGCGCGACAGCGUGGGGGAGCAAACAGG
RNAcentral lists this ribosomal RNA (254 nucleotides) under uncultured bacterium. RNAcentral's name for it is "partial 16S ribosomal RNA". It matches the Rfam family "Bacterial small subunit ribosomal RNA", at positions 524 to 776 of the family's 1533-position model. The record is from RNAcentral.